GAUGAACGCUGGCGGCGUGCCUAAUACAUGCAAGUCGAGCGAACAGACGAGGAGCUUGCUCCUCUGACGUUAGCGGCGGACGGGUGAGUAACACGUGGAUAACCUACCUAUAAGACUGGGAUAACUUCGGGAAACCGGAGCUAAUACCGGAUAAUAUAUUGAACCGCAUGGUUGAAUAGUGAAAGACGGUUUUGCUGUCACUUAUAGAUGGAUCCGCGCCGCAUUAGCUAGUUGGUAAGGUAACGGCUUACCAAGGCCACGAUGCGUAGCCGACCUGAGAGGGUGAUCGGCCACACUGGAACUGAGACACGGUCCAGACUCCGACGGGAGGCAGCAGUAGGGAAUCUUCCGCAAGGGGCGAAAGCCUGACGGAGCAACGCCGCGUGAGUGAUGAAGGUCUUCGGAUCGGAAAACUCUGUUACUAGGGAAGAACAAAUGUGUAAGUAACUAUGCACGUCUUGACGGUACCUAAUCAGAAAGCCACGGCUAACUACGUG
RNAcentral lists this ribosomal RNA (497 nucleotides) under uncultured bacterium. RNAcentral's name for it is "partial 16S ribosomal RNA". It matches the Rfam family "Bacterial small subunit ribosomal RNA", at positions 28 to 507 of the family's 1533-position model. The record is from RNAcentral.